RNAcentral lists this long non-coding RNA (30650 nucleotides) under Vitis vinifera (wine grape). RNAcentral's name for it is "long non-coding RNA (VVIN_LNC002000)". The record is from RNAcentral. Lineage: Eukaryota; Viridiplantae; Streptophyta; Magnoliopsida; Vitales; Vitaceae.
AAAAGGAGAGUGUCACGAAGUGUGUUUGGCACGCUCUGCUAAAGGACGUGGUAGCAGCAGCCUGCGUCAAGAAAACGGCGUGAACGUUGCUUCCGCAAGUCUUCUAAUAAUCCAAACAAUUAAUAGAACAUGUGAAAAGGCAUUGACUAGUCAAAAAGGCGACUUAUCCUCAAAAGGGCGACUGAUCCUUAUUACCGUGACACAUACACCAUACACGCACCAGCACUAGGAUGAAAUGUUGCCGGACCUUGGAUUUUAUGAAAUUUUCAACAAAAAUACUUAUAUUCAUGUAAAUUUUUAUACAAAUAAAUUUGGGAAAGUUAGGUUUUGGAUUGGUGAUGCGGAAAAUAUAUGAUUUUGAAAAUUCAAUUUUACAUAUUUCAAAAUUGAUAAUGUAAUUAGAUAAUAUUUGGAGAAUCAUGCAUUUUCAGCUUAUGUGUAUUUUAAUGCUAAAAAUACCCUUCACCUUGCCAGCUAAGCAUUCGACAUCUGAAAAUUCUGAAAAGAAAAAACUCUCCGAAAAGCCACAAAGCCAAUAUCUCUCUCGUAUACUACUUUUCCCCUUCUCUCUCCCAUUCUCAAUCUCAUAAACCCAAAAUGUUGUAAAACCUAACCUCUUUCAUUUCUGUAACAUUCUCGUCUCCCAUUUUGUUGAUAAACAUCAACAACCCAAAACCUAACUUUCCCAAAAAAAAAAGUUAUAAUGCUGCGGAGGAGAAGAAUUUAUCAGGUGGAUGUGUUGGUAAAUGAGAAACGAAUCAGAAGGAAGAGACAAGGGACUACGGGAGGAAACCGGGAAAGGUGAUAUGAUAUCCUUUUUGUUCCCAAAUUACUUGAUCCAAAAACCCUAAUUUCUAAAACGAAGAUCAGAUCCGGGGAAAAUUGAUAAUCGGAAUCAAUGGUGGGUGCAUCGAGCUCAUGGUCUCGCGCAUUGGUUCAGAUCUCACCCUACACCUUCUUCGCCAUCGGUAUCGCCAUUGCCAUCGGCGUUUUCGUCUUAGGUGCCGCUUGGUACUUUCUCUUCCCUCCAUCCCUUGUAAAAUCCACCAAAAUAAAACAACUACUAAAAUUUUUGCAUUCUUGUCAAACCAGCGGAGGUUUAGGUUAAAUUGAUACAUUAUAUUUGUUUUUUUUUUUUUUUUUUUUGGAUCGUUGUUUUGAUGGUUGCGUUAUUGCUGCAUUUUUAGGGGAAUUUAUAUAACUGGAAGUAGUCUAAUUGGUGUUUCCAUCAAAGCUCCUCGGAUUACUUCAAAAAAUCUAAUUAGGUGCGUACUUCAACUUUCUUUCUUUUUUUCUCGCUGGUUUUAUGGAUCAUUGAUGUGGUAUUACAUGGACUAGUUCUCUAGACUUAUCAAAAAAAUAUUCGAAAGGAAAUUUUUUUCUUCAAAAUGAUUCCCUCAAAACAAGAAGAUUUUAUGAAUUUAUUCUUGUUGAUUCAGAUUCUGUAGAAGUUUCCCAUAUUCAAAACAGAGAUUCUACAAAAAUUUGUUAUUCAAAAUGCAAAAUUUUCAAAGUUAUUUUUGAACUUGAGUAGAGACAAUCUCUUGUCACCCAUAAAAUGUUUUCUCAAAAUUUUAAGCCAUCUUCAUAUGAUUAUUAUGAUUAUAUGGAUGCAUGGUUUUGUGUUUUUCUCUUUCGUCCAUUCGAUCAUUCCUAGUUAUUCCAUUAGUAUUUAAAUUUCAAACUUCCUUUCCAAAUUGGUUCCAAGAAUGGUGGUUAUACUUUGGCGCCAUUCCAACAAUUUUAUAUCCUCAAAUCAAACCAUCUUUUGAUUACUUCAAAGAGCAUGCAAAGGGUUUGAUCUCUGCUCGAUGUUCUCAAACUCUUUUCUUCACUUCUCGCUUUCAAAUUCCAUGAAUCUUGUGUUGAGAUUUUGUUCAAACACAUCUAAUUGAUCUUUUAUUUCCCGCGCAUUUGGCGUAUGAAUUCAAAGUUAAAUGGUGGUCAAACUUCUCCCCAUCUUCUGCUCAACAACUUUCUCAUAUAAAAAACUAGAUUGCAGCAAAGGCUCCCUCCAAUAUUCAAAAUCCUUUUUAACUUCAUUUUCUUCUAUAUGAAGGAAUUCCAACUUCAUCAACACCUUUAGUUGCACAUUCUUCCAUCAAGCUGUUGAGAGAACACCUCAAAAUGCUUCAGCAACGUGCGGUGGAAACCCUCUCUCAACUGGCUUCAAAUUUUGAUGAUGAUGAUUCAACCUCUUCAAUUCUCAAAGAGCCCCAAAAUGAAGACAUGUGUUAUAGCUUGCCAUACACAACGUUGGACUAAGAUGGAGUCCUUUCUCUUCAACAAUAUUCAAAAGCGUCAAAUCAACUUCAAAGCAAAAUACAAAACCACACAUCCAUAUAAUCAUAAUAAUCAUACGAAGAUGACUUAAAAUUUUGAGAAAACGUUUUAUGGGUGACAAGAGAUUGUCCCCACUCAAGUUCAGAAAUAACUUUGAAAAUUUUGCAUUUUAAAUAACAAAUUUUUGUAGAAUCUCUGUUUUGAAUAUGGGAAACUUCUACAGAAUUUGGAUUAACAAGAAUAAAUUCAUAAAAUCUUCUUGUUUUGAGGGAAUCAUUUGAAGAAAAUAUUUUCCUUUUGGAAAUUUUUUUGAUAAGUCUAAAGAACCAGACUUAUUGAGAUGAUGAACUUCGAAUAUUCGAACUUUCAUCAAAUGGGCUUUUGCAAUGUAAUUGCUUGGAGCCUGCUUUGAAGGUUGGGCUUGGGUCACUUGAUAAAAUGUUUGAGAAGGCUUAAGGAUAUUUCCUAAGACUUGAAAUUGGUUUGAAAUUUGGGUUUGAAAAAUAAUAACAAUAAUAAUAAACAAACAAAUAGCGAAUAUUUUAUGGAACCUUGACCAAGUCUAAUUCAAUCUUAUAUUAAACUUUUUUGAGUUGCAUUGGAACAAUUUCAAAUAAUUUGAGUUUUUUUUUUCUUAUUAUAUUAUUUAAAUUAUUAAAAUUAAUAAGACUUAUAUUUGUAAUUUUCAUUGUUAAAACAAAUAAACUUGGGAUUGAUGUUUUUAAAACUCUUCGAAAGAUUUUUCUAUUUUUUUUAAGAAAAAAAUAGUACGGAUAAAUAAAUGAAGUAAAAUAAAAAUAUGAAGUACUAUGAGGCUAGACAAAAGAAAUAAAAUACGGAAAAGAAGGUUGAAGAAGUGCAUGGAUAGGGAAAAAAGAGUUUAUGGAUGAUCACAAAAAACUUCAAAAGAUACUUUGCAAAUUCUCAACAUUUAAUUUCUCGUACUAAUUCUCACCUUUCAAUUUCUAGUUCCCAUAGUUUUUGUUAAUUAAUAAAAAUAAUAACAAUAAUAAACUAAUAAAUAAAAAUAAUCAUUUAAUGAAACCUCAGUCAAGUCCAAUUCAAUCUUGUAUUAAACCCUUUUUAGCAGUUUUAGAACAUUUUCCAACAUUUUGAAUUUUUUAAAUUAUUAAAAGUAAUAAAACUUAUAUUUAUAAUUAAUAUUUUUUUUUAAAAACCUUGGGAUUGAUAUUUUUAGAACCCAUUGAAAGGUUCUUCUUAUUCUGUUUUUUUAUUUUUUUACUUUUUAUUUUUUAUUUAUUUAUAAUUCUACAAGGCCGAAUGCUAUUGAUGAUCUACAAAAACAAUAUUGAUAAACAAAUCAACUAAUAAUGAAAUAGAAUAACUACGAAGUACUAUGAAAUAGGGAAAAAGAAAUAAAAGAACUUUAUAAAAUAUAAAAAAGCUGGUAGAAGAACUUAUGAUUAAGGAAAAUGAGUAUAUAGGCCACCGCAAAAGAUGAGAUACUAAUAUAUAUAUUUUAAUUAUCAACAUUCAAUUUCUUGAGCAAAUUCUCACAAGAUUUCUAGCUCACAUAGUUUUUACUUAAUAAUAUAAAUAAUAAAAAUAAUAAUACACAAAUAAAUAAAAAGUAAUUCAAUGAAGAAAAAGUUUAUUUGAAAACUUGGAAUAUUCUUCUAUCAUUUUUUAUGUUUCCAAAUAUUUCUUAAAAAUAACUUUUAUUUAUAGUAUUUUAUUUUCAAUUAUUCUCCGUAUUCAUACAAUUAUUUUUUAUAAUAACCCCCCAUAAAACAACUUAAAGCAAUUUAAACACAUUAUCAUAAAACAACCCAUUUUUAGAACAAAUUUUUAAAAACUGUUUUAUAAAAUUUUUUUUUGCCAAAUGUGCUUUUAAAUUUGAGCAAAAAUUCCAAGGUUGAUGAUAUUUCUUCUUGAUAAAAAUCAGAGCUAUAUCAAUAGCAGUUUCCCCUUCCAAUCAAAAUGAGAAACUGUUUCUAAAAUUUAAUUUUUAUCUCCUAUGAUAAGAAAAUUUAAAUCAUGCUAGGGGUAUGAUUUCCUUUACUGUUCCUGCUGCUUCUCCCUUUUCUUUUAACAGAUCACCACCAUGAAACAGGACUUAAACCAUCAUAAUCAAGUGAUCCCUGCUAAACAGAAAACAGAGCUAGGAGCAACUCCUUGUCAGAAAGGAACUGUCAUUUACAAAAGCAGCAAUCCUAACAAAUUCAAGAGACACCAUAAAGUUGAUUUUCAGAAAGACAAAGGUGCCUCACAUCAAUUGUUACAUUUUACAAAGACAUGUAAAUAGAUUUAAGGAUUGCCGAAGGACUACUAAUUUCCUUAUUGAAGAACUUAGAGCAUUGAGAUUGGAUUGGAAGAAGAAAACAAGCCAAAAUAAUCAGAAGCUGGCAUUCUCUUCCAGUGGGGCACAUCUAUAUAUACCUGACACUCUCAAUUAAUAGGAAGCACAUUUGAUGAAUAUCCCACAAGACAUCCACAUAUAUUUGUGUACAAGAAAUGCCUUUUUAUUUAAAACUAGUGCAAAUAGGAACCAGUUCGGAGCAUCCGGAAAGCGUCCAUCUCUACGAGCAUAUACGAUAUACUUGGAGAACUCACUGAAUCAAUCAGAUAUCCAAAUAUUGAAAUGAAUUUGGAUCUCUGUUUUUGGUAAUCUAAUGGGUGACUAAGGUCAAAUUGGGUGGAUCUGUCAAAAUUGUCUUACAGGCUUAACCUCCUUUUUUCUUAAUCACCUCUGGGAGUGUUAUUGCUCAAGCUAUAUUUGUUUCUUCCUUCAUAUAUAAGUGGUAUUUGCUGCUUUCACAGAAAUUCAGAGUAGCUCACUAGGUUCUAUAAAAGCAACCAAAACAUUUCCUGUACAAUAAAGUUGUCUUCCCCCCAUUUCCAUUCAUGCAUUCAUUGUUCAAAAAUAUCAUUUACAAACACAUUAGAAAAAAUAUGUUCUUAUUACCUAUGACAUAUGUAUAUAUUAGUAACAGAAAAAAGGGCCUUUUGGUAUGUAUAAAUUAAUGGAAUGCCUGAACAUAACAAGAAUAUGACAAAGAGUCCUAUAAAAAUGGGCCUUUGGUUUUUAUUUUUUUUACUUUAUGGAAUAACCAAUUUAUUGCACAAAGAAAAAAGGAAGAAGAUAAAAUCAAUAAACAUGCACAGUAUACAAAAAGCAAAGAAACGAAAAGACAACAGGUUUCUCAACAAGAGAAGAGAAAAUGAAAAACUACAACUUAGUGAAGUGAGAAAGCCUAUAAUAUAUUAACAGUGUCCUAGAUUAAGAGUGCCAUAUCAUAUAAAAUGAUGUCUAGAAAGAAAGAUUUCAAUAUCACCAACAUGAAAAACAAUUUCAUCUUCACCAGUGAAUAAACUUUUGGCUUACCACAAGUGGCAUCAACCCAUAAACUAAAGACUUAGUAUAGUAGGCAUAUCUAAUACACACACAUGUAUCUGUAUAUAUGAGAAUUCUAAUAAAUGGAUAAAAAAUAAUCUCCUAGUGAAAAUUAGAGAAUAUUAAUUACUAACCGAGAAGUCAAGUAAAUUACUAGAAAAAUUCAAGAAAUAAGAGGUUAUUUGUCUAAAAAAUAUAAAUGUUUGGGAGCUUAUUCUGAAUAAUUUACUAAAAGUUUGUUUACUUUAUUUUUCUAGUCCUUAUAAUAGCAAUAUUGAUUCAAUGUACUCAAACGACUGCCAGAGUGGUACCCAACUAAAAGAAGAGCCAUAAAACAAUAUAACAUAACUAGUUUUGAGCACGCUCCAUCAGCCAGCACUUAGAAACUCUUACCAAUGAAAACAAAAUCUUAGGGAGUAACAAUAUCUCUCUGCAGUUGGCCCUUAAAAUUAUAACACAGCUUCCAAAGGAAAAAGAGCUUGAGGUGCCCUACUUCUAGAGAUGAAAAACCUUGAAAGGAUGAAGUUCAAAGGAUGAACUUACCAAAAUCACCAUGGGGGCAAAUGGCUUUGACUCUUUUGGUUGCUCAACUGGAACUGGAGAAUAACUUACACUCUGAACUUGGAACCUUAUCUGCAGCAGAACACCAAAAGUUAAUGCAAACCACAACUGGAAGUUUUAGCAUAAUUAUAGAACUGUUAAAAGAAUUAUGCAACUUAAACCUUGUCCAUCCCAUCAAUAGGAAAUUUUUGUUCUUGAUUAUCCCAUAUCCAUAUGACUUGACUCCUGGAAUUCCAUAAAAGGAAAAAAGUAGAACACUAUAUAUACGGAUGUAAGGAGUAGCCAUGAAAUGAAUGAAAAAAACAAAAGAAAAAAAGAAAGCAAAUGGUGAAAUCCUGAAAAAUCUAAUUUUAAUUCCAUUAAAAAGUUAAAUUCUUCUAUGGGUUUGGCUCACAGCGGGAUGGAUUUGGCAUAAGAUGGACCAGUCUGUAGACGUCUUCAAAGAAUCCAAGAGAUACUGUCCAUUACAGAUUCAAUAUCAGCAGUAUGCAGAUAUUAAAUAGGUGUUAUUCAUGAUGAUGACACAAAAUUGAAUUCACCAUGUGCAUAGCAGCUAUUUUCACUGAUGAGAAGCCAAAGGAUGCCUUAAAACAAGGUUUAUAUUGAAAAACAAAAUUCUGAUAUCCACUCUACAUCUUCGAGAGGUAACUCACUGAGACAGGGUACAACUAAGUUGCAUUAAGUAUUUGAAGAGCAACAUGAUCUUGGCCAUAAUGAAAAUGCAUAGCAGCAAAGCCCAUAAAAAUAAUAACCAACUAGAAAGGACUAAGCUAAGUAUCUAGCUAAGAUGAAAGAUCACACUCCAAUAAUCACAGGUGUUAUGCACAAUGCUUCGGAAGCUGAUUCCUUAACUCAUGAGCAAUGUCAAGGAGCAACGAUUUUGUGAAAAGAGUAUUUAGGAAAAAGUAAAUGAAUAACAUGUUCCUUAUCAACAAGUGAUUUGGAUAUAACUGCUGAACUAAAAGUUAUAAAAGUGUUUUUAAACAAUCUUCAAUCUCUAGCUAUGAUUUUGCAACCAGUCUUUGGGAACCAAGCAUGCCACUUUUACAACGGAGCUAGAGAAUGACUUAUAUGAAGAUAAAUGGCCUACAGGAUUCAACAGCAUUUCCCAGGUCUGGUACGAGUGCCCACAACUGGAACAUGUCAUUUUCAUCCAAAUACAUCAAUUGAAAUACCAUGACUCCGAAAGCCUUUUUUGUUUUCAUCUUGUCUGGACUAAUAUGAUACAGUUGAAAGCCCUACAAGGACAGGGGCAAGGGCAAGGCAAAGAAAGUAGUGAGAAAGGUGAAUAAAUUGUGCUUCCAUAAGUAAUAUGGCUCUAGACAUAUUGGAGCAUCAAAAAUGGAUUUCAAUAACUGAACCCAAGUAAUUGAGGCUCUGUCGAUUUGCUUAAUUUUGACUCGAGUUGCUUCAAUGAUUAAAUCAUUUAAAUCCAGAUAAGUUUUGCUUUACAUUAUCCUAAUAACAUUGUCCCAAAAUUUUGCUUUACAACUACCUCGUUGAAUUCAUGUGCGGUUUUAAUCAUCAUGCGAUUCAGCCCAUCGCCUUUUUCAAUUCAAUUCAAAAACGGACGAAUAUGAAGGCAAUGCAAAAGUCCCUGAUGGAUAAAUUAUAAAAAGAAAAAUAGAUUAGGUAUACCGUAUAGGUUGAAGCACCAUCCGCAGGAAAGGCAAAGUCACCGUCAAUAGAUCUGAUAUCAUAUACAGAGAUACACAGUCCCAAAUCCGCAAUAACCUUCAUCACAACACACAUUCUUCUCAGUCCCUUAAAUGCUCUGAAAGCACAAUAACAGAAUGAAAACGCAAAGACAUUGCUCAAUUUUCACACCUUAUCUAAGAAUUGACUCUCAAGCUCUCCUUGGAUGGUUUUAUCGAGAGAAAGGUCCAGAAGAUGAGGAGGCAAACGCAGUGUGUGCUCAAUUAAGCUAAGGAAGAACAUGUAAACCUAGGAAAAGUAAAUUCCAAACUGAAAAUCAAAUGAAUCAAUUGCAGACGCAGAUUAUCACAUAAAUUUGAGCCAGUUAAAGUUAAAAGUACAAAUGGUUUCAUAAAUGAGAUUUUGGUUGUUCUAGGGUUUUAAUCUCCGACCGGUGAUCGCUGCCGCCGAUCAGCGAUAGAAAUAUUUCCCUAACUGCCGCGCCGGCAUGAGAUGGUUGUCCUCGAAUGCUUGCUACUCGUCGACAAUGAGAGAAGAGACUGAAAAGAACCGUGUGUGCAUGGAUGGAAAUUUGGGGAAAUAUCGUGGAAUUCGUGGAAAUAUCGGAGAAAUUUCGGCCAGACAUUUCAUAUAAAUUUCGCUGAAUGAUUGGAGAAAUUUCGCCCAAUUUUCGGAGAUAUUUCGCAAAGCUAAUUUGCUGAUUUUUGUUAACUUUCGCCGAUAUUUUGGAAUUUUCCGCGACAUUCCAGGGUUUUUUCGAUAAAUCCCGAUUUUUCGAGGCCUUCACCCUAAUGUUAACAAAAACAGCCUCGGCCACUUGGCUUUCUCCAAUAAAAUAGGAAAAUUUGAAAUUGAAUAUACUAAUAAGUGAAUUUAAGGUCUGUUUAGAUAUACAGAUGGGGUGAAUGGGGCAUCAUCAACCCACCUUUAGAAAAAACAAAAAAAAAAAAAUCCCACUAACCGUAUGAUUCCCUUCGAAUCAAGGGGGUAAUAUAACAACCCCCAACCAUUUAGAUGACAACUAUAUACCUCAUAAACAAAAUUUGAUGAAGAAUACUUAUCCAUUAUAUAUACAAAAGAAGAAAGGACUUGAUUAAAGAUGCGUAUUACCUGCUUUAGAUUUUGUUCAAUUAAUUUUAGACUACAUUUUACAAUAAUUUCAAAAAUCGUUUUAAUAUUUUUAAUAUUAAAAAUAUUUUCUAUAAUCACUACUAAUUUUUAAUUUAAUUUUUGUAAUUUUUGAAAACAUUUAUAUUUACCUCCUACCUAAAUUGUUCUCACAAUCCCACAUCUUUGCAUUAAUACUUCUUUUACACAUUUCAUGACUUUGAAUUAUGUUACACAUUUCAUUUUUAAAAACACAUUAAUAUAUUGGUUUUAAAUUUAUUUUAUAUCUUAUUUUAAUUUUUGUCUGUCUUGCAUUCCUCUUCAAAUUUUAUUUUAUUUUAUUGAUUCAGAGGUGUUUUUCUCUCUACUUUUCUGGGAAAAGAAAGGAAAAGGAAAAGAGGGCGAAACCUCAAUUAGCUCCAAAUGGGUAAAAGCAGACAUCAGCAGAGGAAAAACCAAGGAAAAUUUUGUACACAUGGGCUAAAUGAUAUACACACACGAACAAUUUUUUAAUGGCACGUGCGUUAAAUCACUCGCCAACUCCUUUGCAUAACAAAGAGGAAGUAAUAAUACUAAUGAUAAUAAUUACAGAAAAAGAAAGUAAAACCAGACAACCAGUUGGCAAUCUUACGAUAUGAUUAGCGUAAAAUUAAAAAUAGCAUUGUUGUUGAAAGAGGAAACGACCCACAAUAUCAUAAUCACUAAAGACAGAAGAGAAGCGCAUGGACAUCGGCAUCAGUGAUGAGUGGAUGGGGGGCAUGGGCGAUCACUUCCAUUGCCGCCAUCUACACGAGUACAUGAAGAAGCGGUAGGAGGAGGAGGAGGAGGGGCCGCUGCUUUUGCCAUUGAAACAGCGUCCUGAUGAGGGGAUGAGUGGCAUGGGGGAUGGUCACGUCCAUUGUGGCCACCUAUAUGGGUGCAGGAAGAAGCGGCAGAGGGAGGGACGGGACCACUUGUCCUUACACCAGUGUCCUUAAGGCUGCUUUGAACUCUAGCAGACGCCACAAGAGUUGUUGUGAGGAUGAACAAGAGACAGACAGAGAUUGAGAAGAGGGGCCGGAUGUGCACUUCCUUAAACGACUUCAUCGUGUUUAUCAAAAUGAGUGAUGGUGGAGGGGAUAGCAGGGGGCGACGGGCUUUUAUUAAGCAAAUCAGUUGGUCUAGGGGAAAUGUUUGGGAACUUUGGGUAGAGCUGGAUUCGAGUGUUUGUUUCGUUUUCAUGGGAAUGGUGUUUGGUGGGGCAAUCUACUUGUGGCAAGAAAAGGUAAAAGAAGAAAAAGUGGAAUGAGGAAUAAAGAAUAAACUGGGCUCCCUGCCCACACAAAGAUCCCCUCAAACUAGAAAAUUCAUGGACUUUUCGAUAUCAUAAUCAUAAUACAGACAAAGAUGUGUUCAAACUAGAAAUUUCAUGGACUUUCAUAAGACAUCCAAGUGCCACAAUAGGGUGUGAGAUUCAGUGGAUACCGUAUCCAUAUCAUGGAUUAAUUAAUUCAAUUAAUCCACAUGGAUCAACAAAAAUGAGGGGAGGAGGUAUAAAUAGUCAAAAGUAACAUACAACAAAGGCCUCGACCAAAUUGAGAGGCCAAACCACUAGGGAACUAUUAUGUUAUAAAAGGACACAUCAUAAACCACUUGGAGGCCCAAUCCUAGCCCCAAAAGUCUUGAGGAUUAUUUGUCCUAUUCUUCCCUGGUGUUCUCACUUGUUGGAGGCCAAAUCCUAGCCCCAAAAGUCUGAGGAUUAUUUGUCCUAUUCUUCCCUGGUGUUCUCACUUGUUGGAGUCCAAACCAAAUGUCCAAAAGUCUUUAAAGGAUGAGGAGAGAAAAGAUGUCGAUGAUGAAAUAAUCACCUUCCCUACCUCUCUUUCUCUCUCUUAUGCUAAUAUACUGAAAGUCAUUCAGAGUUCCCUCUCCCUCUCCCUCUCUCUCAUAUUGAUCUCGGAUGCUAAAAUGUAAGUCAUUCGGAGUUCAGUGAAAUGCCAUUUUCAAAAGGUUCAGUUCCUUCCCCAUUGUUUAAAGAGAGUGCCACAGGCUUCACAAUGGCCCCUAGAAAAAUAUAAUAAUAAUAUGGUAACUGGGCUUGAAGAGAUGAACCUUUAUUUAGAGAGGAACUUCGUAUAAUUUUAUUAUUAUUAAAUGAACAAAUUUUGUUUUGUUUGUUUGUUUUUUUUUUUCAAUUUUUCAAUACUUCUAUUUUUCUUUUAUUUUCAAAAAGGAACUCAGCGGUGCAGUUAAGAGACAACUUCAUAGCAAUAGCCCCUAUCCAACUUUUAGGAGCUUAAACACAAAGAAAGGCAAAUAAUAAAAAAUAUAUCCAAAGGCAUGUAAGGUUUAACAAAUGAUGCAAUCUACUGAUCUCAGAGACCAAAUAGAAGUUCACCAACCCAGUGUGACAUUCCAUGCAUUACGCAACACGCGCGACAAAGAGGUCCCACGCGUUUUGACUAACAUGGGGGCUUCACGUUCGCUUUAAUGUCUCCAUUCUCUUGUACAGCCCUACCAAAUAAUAAUCGUAAAGGUCAAACCAUGGUCAGUGCCACAUACCUCCACAUAUUGUCUAAUGGGAUAUUGACACCUGUAAAAACUACAAUACAAAAUUAAAUAAAACCUGUUAAAAUGAAUGGCAGAUCCCACGUAACAUAUUCAAUGCUCCAAAAUAAUUCUUCCUAACCUACCUGCACGUUUCCGUAUAAUUUCUCCUCAUCACGACCAAUUUCACCUGCUCCACACAAGACCACCUUCCAGUAGGUCGCUGGGAAAACACAGCGGACUGUCAAAUUGACCAAGUUGAGCAAAACCAAGGUUUAAAAAUGUUAAUAUUUAAUGCUAGAAAAUAUCAUGCAGGGGAAGUUUCGGUACCACAUCAUUUUUAUAUUGAGAAAAAAAAUAAAAUUAAUAAAUUAUUUUUACAUCUUACUUCAAAAUCAUUUCACUUGUUCAAUCUUAUAAUAUAAAGAUUAAAUGAUUUAAAAAUAUGCAAAAUUUUUUACUAAAUUUAAUUAUAUUUAAUAUUUUUAUGUAUUUUUUUUUUUUUCCCCUUAAUAUUUUUACUCCAACUGUCUACAAUCCUAAGUCCUGCAGUGCAUUUCAAGUUCGUGUAACCAAUCAGAAUUGGCACAUCCAUUACUUUUCAAGUGUAGAAUUAGUUCUCAAAAGAAAGAUUAUGACUCGUACAUGGUACAAGCAUAUUUUGAAUACUUUCUAAAGACAGAGAACUAUCAGCUGAUUUGAGAAUAGGCUGAGGAGGCCCUUCUGUAUGGAACUCCAUUCCUCUUAGAGACAUCUAUUCUGCAACAAAGUCCUAUUGCUUACUUAUCAAUAAAUAAGUAAUCUCCUAUUGAAAAAAUAUUCUCACUGCAUUAUCAAUUAAUAAAAUUAGAAAACAUUAAUCAUUAUUCUCCCCUUCAUCUGGCUUAUUAAAAAAGGAAAAACUUAUGAGGUUUAAAAUGAUAGUUAGCUUAAGCACGUGUCCCAAGUUUGGAACCUACCUUUCCUUUUUUUCAACACUCCUCUUUUUUCCUUGUUUUGUUUUGAAACUUGAGGGUUCCAAAGAAGAUUGUUUCAACUGUGUGUAUAGGGUGCAACCCAUUUUUCUUUUAUUGGCACUACCUAACAUAUUUGCUUGCCUUAAAAGAAAAAGUUAUCCUGAAGGUGUAACUUAAUGCUUUCUUGAUAUUUAGAUAUAAAAUCCUUUCCAAUCAAGAUUCUUCUGACCUUCUAUUAACAUUUCCAUGACUGGGUUCCUCUUCAAGAAAUUGUCUUCAUAUUGUUUCUCCAUAUCAUGUCUUCCCUUUCAGGUCACGCUCCAUUCACUAAUACUGCAAAACUUGUCAAGGACAAAUAAUUUAUCUCCCAAAUGCUGUAGUAAUACAUAAAUGCUUAAGAUUGAAUAUUGCAUUCAUCUCCCAAUAGCUAGUGGUUUACUCAUGUUCAUUAAUUUAUUAAAAUUUUCAGUUAACCUCUCUUUGAGUGGGUCUAACCCAAGAAGUUUGCUGACAACUGAAUAAACUCUUAUGUUUUUAGUGACAGAAAAUAGGUCGUGGCUCACUUCACUAAAGCCCGUACCUUAUGUGCAUCAAGCUCUAGGAGGACUUUGCACCUUGGUGUGCCUUGGGCCUUUUAAAACUAUGUUUGUACCCUUGUUUCCAAUGCUUCAAGUCCACCAAAACAAUUCCACAUAUAAAGCAACAUUUCUGACUGCCAUGGAAUUGGAAUUCUGCAAAAAUUCAAUUGCGGUACAAUCAGAUGCAGUCUUAAUUUUUUUACAGAUAGUCAACUUAAUUUACAGAUAUCUACCUCACCAAUGCAUCAAUGAUCUCUAAGCCUCUUUCUUUCUUCAUAAUAUUAUUUCAUCAAGCCAACCAUUUGACAAUACCUUUCCCAUUCUCUUCAACCCACAUAAAAGGACUAUUUCAGUUUCCACUUUGAAAGAUAUGGUAAUUGAAAAAAGAAAACAAAGGACUAUAUGACAAAUAAAUAAAGUUUUGCUAUCUGAAUUUGUAAAGAACUCAAUUGAACAAAACCAUUAAAAAGGCAUGGGCAUUCAAAUUCCUUCACGAGGGUGGAGCCAGGCACAGACAUUUUGCAGCCAUUCACUAGAAUAUUUGGAAGAAAAUAGAUGGGCCCUUUUUAAUUAAAAAAAUGCAGCUUCAUUAGAAAACGAGGAAAAAAAAGAAGAGAAUUAGCAUUUCUGCAACACCCUAACUAUAUGGCCAUUAAUCCUAUUCCAAUAAGGAAAAUAUUUUGGAAAUUUUUAUGAGACAAUACAUAUAUAUAAUAAGUUGCCAUUUUUAUUCAUAUGUUAGAUUGUCCAAAUGAAUGAAGUGUCAUCAUUGCACUAGGAAAUAACCCCUUAAAGGUCUAUGCUAUGAAGGUCUCAUUCCCAGGUCCCCAGAUCAAAUGAUUAUUGUGAUCUUUUAUUGCUAAAGAUGUAAUGAUUAAAGCCCAAUAUUUUGUUGGGUCCUGUGACUAAAAAGGUGACAAAAAUUGAGUUACUGCUUGAAGCCCACACUAAACCAGCAAGGUUGCUGCAACUAAAAAUCAUACCCUUCAGGUAUGAGACAGAAACAAGCCCUUUUUUCCUUUUAUACAAUCAUUGUGUUCGAUUAUGGACUACUAAGAGUGGCAACUCUACUUAUUCCAUUCUAUGUUAAAUAGAUGAAUAAUAGAACAUAUGAAGUUUUAAAACUAGUCGAUGAAUGUUGCAAACAACAGAAUGCAAAUGAAAACUCUUUUAAACUUCAUAGGCAGUUUACAUUUAUGCAUAUUUGCAAAACUAGUGGCACCACAGAAAUACAACUUAAAUUUCUAUCAUAAAACCGUAAGAACAACAUAAGUAAUCAUUUGGGAGGGAAAAAGAGAGUGACCUUUCCAUGUGGAUUCAUAGCUUUUAGGCCUGUUGAGAAAUUUGACCCAUUACUUUUAUCCAUGAUCCACCUGACCAAAUGACAAACGGUGGGCCCAAAAACUACCUUUGAUGCAAAUUAAUAUUGACAAACUGUAACAAGUGCAGUCAGGAUAAAGUGUAUGUGUGUGUGUAUGAUAAAAACAAAUGCUUUGCUUAUGUUAACCUGGAAGAAUCCAUUUCCAAUCAACAUGUCAGUAAAAUAGGUCUGACAUGCUCCAUCAAACAGCUUUGAUUUUCCAUGCAAGAUCUAUGGUGGAGGGGCCUGACAACCAGUGACAAAGCCCACCUGUUGAAGUAAUAGUUCACAUACUCAACAACCACCAAAUGAGUCUAAUGCUUAUUAUGUUCAGUUUUCUAAAACAAUCUCUUACUAGAUCAUGAAACAAUUAACUCACCAACCAUUCCCCAGGGGACAACUUUGAUUCACCUCAGUGAGGCACUGUAGCACCUUUCAUGUUUGUAGCAACCACUAUGCCAUAAUCAGCCCCAACCAUUUUCAAAAAGGACCUAAAAUAGGAAAUAAAAUCAAAAGAUUCAACAAAUACUUGAAUUCAUCAUAAGUCCAUAGAAUUCAAAUCCAUUAAGUAAUACCUGAAUCUCAUCCAUAUUUUAGGGGGGAAAAGUCUAAAUUAAAUCCAUUUAUUGUUUUUGUCAGCAAGAUCCAGUUUUACUUGGUCAAGUUAAAAACACAGAUAUUAAAGUGGUGCCACACUACAGGGGUGCAUAAAUGCUUAAAAUUUUGUGUAAGUUUGGCAACCAACUUCCAAUGUGCUUCUACAAUCAGUCAAGAAUAGAGAAAAAGAAAAUGAUUCUUAGAAGCAUAAAAUGUUAUAGUUGGAAUCGCCCUUCCUUUUAUAUAACAGUUAGAUAUCAGAAUACAUAUGUACAUUCGGAAAAUUUUCCAGUAAGAAGAAUGCCAUUAAUCAUUUAAUCCAGAGUUUAGGAACACUAACAAAUUGUCAAAUAAGAUUCCCCACAACCUUCACCAUGAAAUAGGAUUUGAUCAUGAUGCAAUUUGACAAGCCAUCUUAUAGAGAGAAGUGACCCAAUGUUAGCUAAAAAUCAAUGUCCAAAGAGUUUCCAAGUACAUUGUGUUCACUCUCUUUAGCAUAACCACAAUUUCAUCAAAAGAAAACUAACCACCAUGUUGUAGUUGUCAACACAAUAACUUUGCUGCAGGAUCACGUUAUCUCCUCUAAUACACUUCUCAUUCAUCAAAGGAAAACCAACCCUUUUGGUGUGUCCCUAGGAAUGUCUUUCUAACCACUUCCUGACAUAAUGCUUCCUAUGGUCAAAGGUGUUUGGCAGCUAGGUUGUGCAUUAUUACCAGCCAUCGCUUUAGCACCCACAUUAAGAAUAUUACUUUGCAAUUCAUGCAAGGAAAUUCACUUCGACAACUGACUCUAAAGCUCCCUCAAACCAUCUUCAUAGUCUUGCUGCAUCAGAGAUAUAAAAAACCAACACCAAAAUAUGGUGACAUUUCCAAAGAAAUUAUGAAAACUCUAGUGAGUUUCUUUGUGAAAGUUCAAUAAUUCAACAUCAGUUGAAUUGAGAGGACAACUGAAGUUGGGUUGUUAUAUGGUAUAGGUUGUCUAGCACAUGCAUAUGCACCCUUGGCAGAACAACUGGAGUUUGGACACAAGCCCAUUAAUAUAACUAGUGCCAUAGUAAAAGGAAGAUGAGAUAAUAAAUGAAUUAUUUUAAAUGUAUACAGGGCUAAACCCCUAGGUAGAUAGAUGAAUGCUCUACAUGUUGCUUUAAAUGAUAAAUAGAUACAUUGCUCAACUUCUCCUAAACAAGUGUGCAGGAUAUUCCUUCUUGAAACUUAUAAGAAAAGACAGACUACACAAACAUACAUUGUUCUUCGCAACUCUCAAUCACUUUUCAUUGAGAACCAUGACCAUCUAUGUACACAUGUUAUUCAUUUUAACAAGGAGAGAAAGACCAAAAAAGCCCUGGUUUUCUUAAUUAGGUAAGAGCAAAAAUAAGUGUAGAAUACGCUCUCUUGAAAAGUCACAUCUAAAUUAAGAAACAAAACUCUCAAAUAAAUGGCCAUAGAAGGGAGUGCUAAGUAACAUGCAAGUAUGAAAUAGUUAUUUAAUUUUCUGUGGAAGUCUUUGAUAGAUUGAGAUAUUGUCAAUUACAAAAGGCAGAACCACAUUUGGUUGUUACAGUGAGCUCAUAUACAUUGGAGUGGGAAGGCUCACAAGCACGCAGCACACGCUGUGCUGGUAAGCGAAUCAAAUACUCUUACCGCAAUGCAUUUCUAGUUCAUGUAACCAAUCAGAAUUGGCACAUCCGUUACUUUUCAAGUGUAGAAUUAGUUCUCAAAAGAAAGAUUAUGAGUCGUACACGGUACAAGCAUAUUUUGAAUACUUACCAAUCAAGGCAUCACAGGAAGUUAUGAAGUGUGAUUCCGUCUUUUGACAUUAAGAGAACAAAAUGGAAACACACCUAAUGUUGCUUUGAUUGGAAUAUCAAGAAAAGAAAAAGGCUAUACCAAGUAGAAGUCGUACAAAAAUCGACCUUUGUAUUAGACCCCUGUCCUGUUGCAAACAUGAUAAUAUUAUAUAGGAGACUAGGAGUAACCUUCAACUAUUCCUUUGUCAUUCUCUAAAGACACAGAACUAUCAGCUGAUUUGAGAAUAGCCUGAGGAGGCCCUUCUGUAUGGAACUCCAUUCCUCUUAGAGACAUCUAUUCUGCAACAAAGUCUCCGACCUGUAGACAUUGAAAAUGCAAGUUUGGCACUCUUGCCCAUGCAAAUAGCAAAAACAAAUACUAACAUCAUAUGCAGUUCCUUACAUGGACUGAGCCGGUCAAACCAUUGAAGAUACCAGCAAAAUCCAUAGCGAUGCACUCACCCCCAAGUAUCAUAAUUUUUUUAGGUUAUGAGGGAAAUCAAGGGCAGCAUCUGAACCUAUGGCAUAUCCACUGAGAGGAAUUUAUGGAAUGAAGGGGCACCUCCCAACUGCAAUUAGCAUGUGCCUUGCUGUGUUUAGUGUUCCAUCCACAUUAACAGUGUGAGUCCACAAUCUGUGCAUAUAAUCAUUAAAAUUCAAGCAACAGUCUUAAGAAGUGUGAAAUAUAAAUUCAUUUCAAAGAAUAGUUAUGAUUAUUUCUAAUAAACAGAAAACUGUUUUCAAGAACAGUUUCCAAACAGGGUGUUAGUCACUAUCUAGAAUACACACACAUGUAUUUUUAUAAGUGAGGAGCAGUCGAUUCUGUCACCAAACAGCUCUUUCCUUAGAAGUUUACAGUUUUUUUUUUGUUUUCCCCCUCUAUGGCAUAACCUUUUGAUACAACUUGUAUGCCUAUUGUGCACAUUUGUAUAGUUUUUUGUUGUUUUAUUUAUAAAACUUCUUGCUUACUUAUCAAUAAAUAAAUAAUCUCCUAUUGAAAAAAUAUUCUCACUGCAUUAUUAAUUAAUAAAAUUAGAAAACAUUAAUCAUUAACUGUGAAGUCAAGCACAAUAGUAGAAAAAAAUCAAGAAAUAAGAGGUUAUUUGUCUGGAAAAUAAGAUCAUUUGGGAGCUUAUUCUAUAUCAUUUAGUAAAAUUCUACUUACUUUAUUUUGUUAGCCCUUACGAUGCCAAUGUUGUUUCAAUGUGCUCAUAUGAAUUUUGCCAGGUGGUAGCUAUCUAAAAGACAAGCCACAAGUCAUGUAAGUUUUUUUAAACAAUCUUUAAUCUCUAGUGCUGAUUUUGCAACCUGUCUUUGAGAACCAAGCAUGCCACUUCUAUGAUAGAGCUAGACAAUGACUAUAUGAAGAUAGAGGGCCAACAGGAUUCAACGGCAUUUCCCAGGUCUGGUAAAUUGACCAGCCAACUGGUACAUACCAUUUUCAUCUCAAUAAUGUCAUGCUCCAAUUGAAAUACCAUUGAUUCCUGAGGCCUUUUUUGUUUUCAUCCUGUGUGGCAAAAGCUGCAGAAAAUGCACUAGCGAAAAGGACUAAUAUGAUUCAGUUGGAGGCCCGACAAGGACAAGGAAAAGGCAAAGAAAGUAGUGAGAAAGGUGAAUAAUAACCUGUGAUUCCAUAGGUAAUAUGACUCUAGACAUAGUCAAGCAUCAAAAAAGGAAUUCAAUAGUACUUGAGGACUCAAGUUGCUUCUAAUUCUCCAGUAGAAGAAAGGGGAUUUCCAUAACCGGCCAUAAAAAUAGCAAAUGGUAUGGUCUAAUUUUGAAUCUGCUUCUAACUCUCUGAUGGAAGAAACAGAUUUCCAUAACCGGCCAUAAAAAUAGCAAAUUGCAUGUCUUCAUGGUUGCCGCCAGUUAGUCAUAAUCUAGGAUAUGAAAGAAAUUUUCCUUCGAGGAUAGGAUUCCUCAUGAAUUUGGAGUGUGUGCCAUGUUAAAUGAGCAAGUAGUUUGCAUUAUCUAAGAAAUCUCUAAUCUGGAUAUUUGGUAAGGAAAUUUAUGGGUGCCUAAAUCAAGGAGUUUUCAACCGAGUAACUAGUGACAAAUAAGAACACAUGCAUGAAAAAAUUCUAAAGAGAGCAUUGGGCGGCUGAGAAGAAACCACAAUUGAUAAACUCAUUUGGAUCAAAUGCAAUGAUUAAAAUCAUUUAAAUCCAGAUAAAUUUUGCCUUACAUAUCCUAAUAACAUUUUUCUUUUCACUUGAAUGCAUUGUCAUCAUGAUGCAUAAGAUACAAAAAUUACUCCCAGAUGCUCUGAAAUCACAAUAACAAAAUGAAAACGCAAAGACAAUGCUCAAUCUCCACACCUUAUCUAAGGAGAAACUCUCAAGCUCUCCUUUGAUGGCUUCAUCGAGAGGAAAGUCCGGAAGAUAAGGAUGCAAAUGCAGUGUGUGCUCAAUUAAGCCGAGGAAGAACAUCUAAACCUAGAAAACGUAAAUUCCAAACUGAAAAUCAAUUUGCAGAGGCAGAUUAUCACAGUAACAUUAACAAAUUUAAGUACAUAGUAUAAAAAAAUUUAUUCUCUAACUUGUUUUCGCAGUCUCAACGAUGCUUUUGUUUUUCGUAAGGUUCUUCAGUGAGAUUUUGGUUGUUCUAGGGUUUUGAUCUCCAACCGGUCACCUUUUCAGCCGGCCACGGAGAGGAAUAUUUCCUAACGUGUCACGCCGGCUUAAGACGGUUAUCUUCCAAGGGAUGCUAUUCGUCGACGGUGAGACUGAAACGAAUGUGGCUGAGAGGGAGGGAGAGGGAGACAGAGAGAGGGAGCCCCCGUUUGAAAAGGAAAAAAUUAUUUCAAGAAUUUGAAAAAAAAAACAAGUCAAAAUUAACUGAAUAAUUUUACAAUUAAAAUUUAUUUUAAUUUUAUAGUUCUUUAUAAAAAAUUUAGAUCAAAUUUGGAAAUGGUUUGAUAAAUUUUUAUCUAAAUAAAUUAUUUUUUAGAGUAAAACUUUUUAAAUAUUUUUAAAAAAAUAUUGUCAAAACCGUAAUAACCACACGAUUUUAAAUUUCAGCACUAAAAUUUUGAUUUAAAUUUUUUUAAUGAAGCUUUUUUUUAUUAAAAUAUUUAAAUUUAUGUAUAAAAAAUAGUAUAAGAAAAUUCUUUAUAUUAAUUUUAUUUUUUAUUUAAUAAUAUAUAUAAAUUGUUUAGUAAAUUUAUGAUAUUAUUUUUUAAAAAACUUUUAAUGUAUGAAAUAAGAUACCUUUGACCUUCGUCGCAUAUGGAAUGUAUCCACUUCAAUAGCCCUAUGAAAGGUGACCCAAUGGGCUGGUCCAAGUUUGCAAGAGGAGGUGUGAGCCCAACCAAUUUGUGUCCAACCCAUUAUGGCCCACAAGUCCACACACAAAAAUUCAAACAACAGUUGGAUUUGAUUUUUAGAGGGAGUGUGAGAAACAGAAGGAAACAGUGAGAGAAACAGCACCAAACUGAAUAGCCACCGGAAGAGAGCGUACAGUAUUCACAUUGGAGGAAGACAUGAUGGCUUAUACGGUAAUACGGUUAUACCUUGACGCUUAUUUCAUCUCCACUCUCCACUGCCAUCUCAACAGUUUUGUUGAUGGGUUACACUGUUUGAAGAAAGUCGUAUCAAAACACAUAUAUGAAAACACGCACAGCCCAAAGUCUGGAGAGACUACCCUCACCCCUUUGAUGGAGGAAUUCAUGGCCACCCAUUCCAUCCCAUCAUGACCAGUUUUGCUCAAGGUUUUUAAAAAUAUUACUUUUUUCACCUCUCUAUGAGUUAUCCAGAGGACCUGAUGAGUACAUAUUGUGUUCUGAACCAAUGAGUUUUCCCAGUCCCAUGUUGGGUAUGACAAGUCUCAGCAUUUACAAUUCUUCUUUUGAAAAGGUGGUAAAUAUUGAUGAUAUGAAAAAUGAAAGAGAUUAUAACUUUCUCCCUUGCCUUGCAAGAUAUCUCAAAUGACGAGAAUGCCCACAGAGUCACAGAUUGAAGCUAUAACAGAGUCAGCAAAUGAUAAAAGAUAUUUAUUAUGAAAAAGAAACAGAGUAGAAAGGAGAAAAAGAAACAGAGAAGAGAAGAAGAAAACAGAGUGCUCUGUUUCGUUCUCUUUCUUUUCAUCAGAAAUAUGAGUAGGAAAGGUCUAGAUAUAGGAGACUGGAAACAGAGAAAGCUAUAACUAAUCUGAAACUAAUUUCAGCUCAUCCUCUUACAAAAACAAUUGUUUAACUAACUAACAGAAUUUUAUUCUUGAAUGAACAUGAAUCACAAAAUUAAAAAAUUACACAAGGUGUUGUGAAUCAAAACUGGGAAAAAUCCACCUCUUUUGAUCAACAACCUUGGCUAAUAAAAUAGCCUUACAAUAACUAAUUUAUAAGAAAAACAGCCCACGUUUUACACUAACAAAUAACGUGGUAAAGAGUAGAGAAUAAGUCAAAGCUGGAAACUACCCUGCUUAAUAGGGAUUAUUAAAACAAAAAAAAAAACUAAACAAUCAGAAAACUUAAAUCUUGACACAAGGACCUGAUGAUCUUCAAACACCCAGAAAAAAUCCAAACCCUUGCUCGAUCUUAUUAUUAUCUAAUCCAAAACCACACGACAUUAUGUACAUAUAUAUACAUAAGUGCAGGGGCUAUAGCAGAAGCGCAUGAUCAUCAUCAACCUCAUGGAGGAGUAGUGGGUGUAGUGAGGCAGGGGCGAUGGUCGGCCCUAUCGUCGCCGCCUAUAUAAGUGCACGAAGAAGCAGCAGAAGAUGGGACUGGACCUCUCGCCAUUAAAACAGAGUCCUUGGAGAUGCUAUGAACCCUACCACCUGCUACCAGAAUUGUGGCGGUGAGAAUCAAGCAGAGAGAGAUUGAAAUGGAGAGGAAAAUGAACUUCAUGUUGUGAAAUGAGUCAUGAGUUGUGCAAUUAGAGUAGUUCUUAAGAGGGAUGGUCUUGGGUCCUACCCACGGAAGUAACGCUGUGAAAUGUGUUAUGAGGUGUGCAAGUGCGUACUCCCAAAAGUUAAAAGAAAAACCCAAAAACCCUUUUGUUUUUUUCCUUUCUAUUCCUCUCUCAUCUCACCACCACAUUCUCCCACUCUCCUGCUUACUCACUACUUAUCCCAUCCUCCACUUUUCUCACACUUUCUCUCGUUCUUACCCACUGCAGCCACCCCUCUCUCUCUCUCUCUCUCUCUCUCUCUCUCUCACGCUCCUUUCUCUUUCUCAUUCCUUGCAUCAGUUUACUUCCUUUCCACCGUCAUCCCUCUUGUCUCUUUGUUUUUUUUUCCUCUGGAUUCCCGUUUCCCAUCAUGCCGUGAUCCUAACUGCUUUGUUUAUUACGAUGACCUCGUCAUAGGACUUCCAGAUCGGGUAAGUUUCUUUUUUUAAAUUUCCACGAUAGAGUGUUUGCAAACCUUUAUUUAGGUUUGGUUAUUGAACUGAUUUGAGCCUUUGAAUCUGAUUGGGGUUGAAUAUUAUUCAUUUGGGCUUUGUUUUGGGCCUGAUUUAUUGUAUUUUAUUUACUCUAAGUAUGGUCCCAAUUUCUGGUUAUUGGAUGAAACCACCAUGGAUACAUACCACAUGCAGGGCCAUAUUUGCAGAGCAAGAGAAGGUUCAGGAAUAGUCGUGGGCCGUAUUUAAGGGUACUAGGCCCUAGAGUACAGGCAAUGGUGGCGUGUUUUUUUUUUUCUCCAUAUAUUAAGGGUGUAUAUUCUGAUUAUUUCUUUUUUUUAAAAUUGUCAUUUUUUAUUUUAAAAAAUCUUUUCAUUAAUAAAAAACAGCCCAAUUUUUUUAUUUUUUAUUUAAAGGUCCAAAAAGUCAUUUUUUUUAAUUGUAAAACAUUUUUUAUAAAAUUGAUGAACUUUCUUUAAUAAAAAUAAAUUCAUUUAGUAAAAUGCUUUUUAGAUGAAAUUAAAUAAAAAUCUCUUUUUAAAAUAAAUAUUGAAUUUGAAAAUAAUUUUUAUAAAUAGGAAUUGUAAAAUAAUCAUUUUGAAUUGGAGUAUUUUUUAAAUAAUUUGUAAAAAUCACAUUCUUAAAAUAAAGAUCAUUGGAACUAUUUUUGAAAAUAAAGUUGUAAAAUUAAUGUUCUAAAAUAAAAUUUGAAUUUGAAGAUAUUUGGUAAAUAUAAGUUGUAACAAAAUUUUUUAUUUACUAAAAACCAGAUUGAAAAUAAAAGUUGUAAAAAAAAAAUUACUUGGAUUGGAAUGUUCUUUUAAAUAAUUUGUAAAAAUCGCAUUUCUUAAAUAAAGAUUUAAAUUGAACUUUCUUUUCUUUUAUGCUAUGUUUGGUCCUCGGAAAAUUUGAGAGGACAUGUGAGAGAAAAAAAAAAAACUAAUCAAAAUAAAAAAAUAAAAAAUAAAUUUAAAAUUAAAUAAAUUAUUUUUAUAUAUUUCUUUAAAUUUAUUUCAUUUAGUUUUCUCUAUUAUAUAAAAAUUAAAUAAAUUUAAAAUACAUAAAAUUUCAACUAAUUUUAAUUAUAUUUGAUUUUUUUAUAUUUUUAUAGUAAAACUAAAUAUUUGAAAAUCAUUUUCCUUAAUUUUUUUUUUAGUACUUUUCGAGAAUUUGACAUUAAUAAAUAAGUGAAAACCUUCUUUUUCCUUGUAAAAUAAUUUUUUUCAAAUAAUAAUCAAAUUAAUGUUUUUUUUAAAUGCAUAAAUUUAGUUUUCAAUAAAAUAAUAAAAAUCAAUUCCUAUGUAAAUAAAAUAAAAUUGAAAUAUUAUUUUGCAAAUAAAUUUGUAAAAAUCCUUCUUUAAAUAAUUUGUAAAUUUCCUUUUUUAGUAAAUAAAAUUUGAAAUAAAAUAUUUUCUUUUGGAAAUAAAAUUGUAAAAAAUUAAUUAUACCAAAAGUAAAUAAUAUAAAGUAAAAUCAAUUUCUUGUAAGUAAAAUCAAAUUUAAACAUUUCUCUUUCAAUCUGUACUUAUAAUAAAAGAUAAGGAAAAGUCAAUGCAAGUAAAAUCAAUUGUUCAGCUUUGUGAAUAAUUCUUUGACUCCGGACCCAUUCUAUACCUCUUUAUUUUCAAGGUCCUUAAAUCUUGGGCCUAUGGGAAGAGAAUAUAUAUAGGAAAAGACUCAAAAAAGGCAAAAUCUAUACCCGGCACAACAUCUGGAUCAGGUACAAAAUCACCAUAAAGGUGUAAAGCUAUGGACCUUUUUCUAUAGGACCAGUGGACCACCAUGUGAACCAAAAAUACCAUCAAUGAAAAUCUUGCAACGUUAAAGAAUAUGGGAAAUGACAAUAUCUCUAUUUUAUUUAUAGUUUAUUUUUAAGAUUAAUACCACAUUCCUCUUUUUAAAUACUUUAUAAUAUUAUUAAAUUAAACAUUUUUUAAUAAUGGAGGUGAUAGCCAUGUCUACUGUAAUAUCAAGCCUAGUUGAAGAAGGAUUCUUUGUUGAUCUAAUUUUGGUGUGAUUUUCUUUCUCUUUAAAUUUAGAAAUUGUCACACAAAUUUAGAUAAUAAAAAUGUUUUUCCUUACCUUUACAAAAUAUUUUUUUAUGUUUGAUUUUAGUAUAAAAAUAUAAUAAAUAUUAAUGAAAAGAAUUAAAAUAAGUGUGAGUUCUAAGUAAUAUAUAAAUAAUUUAUUAGUUUUAAAUCAACUUUUUAUUUUUUUUCAAAAUUUUUGACUUUAUAUAUAUAUAUAUUUCUAACAAACGUAACUUAAAAGUUUAUAUCUUUUAUCUGAAGGGAAAUAAAAAUAGAUAAAAGCUCAAAAAGUAAGUGAGUUGAAAUAGAAAAAGAGAGGGAAAGAGACGCCCAGCAUGCAAGGGCUUGGGAGAGUGAGGUAUAAGUUAUAACCAAAGAGAGAGAAGACUAAGGAGAGAGGCAUGCCCAAAAUACAACUAAAUUGAGACACGCUUAGAGAAAGAAAGAUGCCCAAUAUGUAAGGACUAAGGAGAAAAGCUUGUCCAAAGAGAGUUUAUUCCAUUCCCAUUUAUGGAACGACCUUUUAACUAUAAAGGUAUAUAGAGGCAUGCCCAAAAUACAAGUGGGUUGAGACUUGAGAUACACCUAGAAAAAGAUAGAUGCCCAAUUUGUAGGGCUGACAUCCUAGAGAGAGAUAGAUGCCUAAUAAGGAGAGGUAUGCCCAAAAUUUAAGUGGGUUGAGACACACCUAGACAGAGAUGUCCAGUAUGUUCGUUGUAUUUUUAAAACAACAUAUAUAACAAGAUAAACUAUAAAAAUCAUUCCUACAUUUUUUUUUUCAUGUUUUAAUUUAUUCCCUAAUUUAAAAAAAAAAAAAAAUUUUGAAUUUAAAGGCCAAAUAGGUCAUUAUAUUAAGUAUUUUCAUAGUAAAUAAAUCAGAUAUAUCCAAAUAUAUCAUACAAAAAAUUAAUUAUAUCAAUCUUUUUGUGCUUUUUGCAUGGAUUUUUUUUCAUCUAUUUUCGAACCAAAGAAAAAUGUUUAUUAAACAUUUGGGUAUGGUCUAAUAUUUAUUUUUAUUUUUUUGAAAAAAAAAAACCUUGUAGAUACGAUUAUUUUUGUAAUUCACUUUAUAUAAAUUUGGAGGACACCCAUGUCUCUGAGAUUUGGUAGGUGUCAAAUGUGAUGAGAUUCAAAAUUGGUGCCUUAGAACUGUUGCAGCUGCCAUCUUGGAAUUAUGCCCAAUGCCCAUCUCUUGAUAAUUCAUACGGCAAUAGGCAACUGAAAGAUUUGUACAACCCAAUGAGAAAGAGGGUUGAGCCACAGCUAGAGAGGCAGAGAAAUUACAACUUUUAAGCAAAUAUAAAGCCAAGAAUUCAAGAAUUUUUUUUCUCCUUUAUUUGCUUUUCCACAAAUUUCAUUUCAGAAUUGAUGUCAAAAAAUCACAGGAAAAAAAUUAGAAAAAGAAAAACCCACUAACUGUUGAAUCCUAACAAAUCAAGGGGUAAACAAGCCAACCACACACAAAAAAGCAAUGAAGAUAGAAGGGUAAACAUACUUUCAAACAUGAUCCUGAGAAUCAUUAAUGAAGGCAGUGCCUGUGGUCCUGAUUCAACUAGAAUUUGUGGCCAAAAGCAGAAAUCGAUUCCCCAAUCUUCAAAACAAACUAUUGACUGAUGAAAAAUGGGCUUCUGGUUUCAUUGUAUGUUGAACUUCUGCAACGAUUCUUGGUGAAGAAAUUAAGACAAAAAACAAAAGAAACAUACAGAUUUAAUGUUGUUCGACGGAUUGCCUAUAAGGAAGAAGGCUUUUACUAUAUCUCAAGAUAAAAGAGUGUUUAUACUAACCCUUAGUAAUGAAAUUUUAAAAAUACCCCUGAAUAGUACAUUUGCCUAUUUUUCUCAAGUAUGAAUUUCCCUCAAUACGAGUCACAUACUACAACAUUGUAUAAACAUUUUAAGUUCAGCAAUUUAUUCCCACUGCUCCUCCAAACAUGCCUUAAAAGAAUCCUUUUCAAACCCACACAUAUUCUUCAUGACAUUGAAGAGUCGGACUCCAACCAAGGACUAGGCAUGUAAAUACUAAAUAGGCCAGGCAGGACCCACGCCAAGUCUUAGCUUGCGUUCAGGCCAGGCUAAAAUAUUUAAUUAAAAUCAAGGGCCUCCCUCGACCCAAGAUUUUCAUCAAACCCAGUUAUUUCAACUUCAAAUAUAUGCUAAUUAGCCUUAGUCACACAGUGCUAAUCUUUUACAUGUUUCGUAACUUUGAAAUAGGAAAAGAAAUAUGAAAGAAAAGGCCAAAACAAAAAAGGAAAAAUCUAUAACCAACACAAAAUCCAAUACCAAUUGUUCAGGAUAUCAUAAUUUUUCCGUUAUUUGAAAGUAGAGCAUGUCGUAGAAAGCCAAAAACUUACCUUCAAAACCCAUAGUAGUUGCAGAGGAUGCCUCAAGAAAAGAAGAAGGGGAUGAGAGGAGGAUAGAUUCUUCACUUGCUCUGACCCUUCUCGCGUAUGGAAUGUAUCCGCUUCUCAACAGCCCUAGACAUUUUCUAAAUACUAUGAAAGGUUCCUUGAUCCAAUGGGCUGGCAGAAAGGUUGCAAGAGGAAGUGUGAGCCCAUGGGAAGCAAUUGGUGUCCAACCCAUUACGGCCCACAAGUUUUACCAUUGGUUGUUCAAGCCACAUACAAAAUUCAAACCAUAGUAGAUUUGAGUUUUAGAGAGAGAGAAGCAAACAGUGAGAGAAAGAGAAACAACACCAAACUGAAUACCCGCCAGAAGAGAACAUACAGUAUUCACAUUGGAGGAAGACAUGCUUGAGUUUUAUUUAUCUCAGACUCCAAUCUGCAACAAUGCAUUGGAAAAGGUACAGCAACAAACUGGGUAUCCACCAAAGGCUAAUUAAUUUGAUCUCUCCACAGUUAUGUUGAUGGGUUCCAUUGUUUGAAGAAAGUCAUAUCAAAACAGAUACAUGAAAUCAUGCACAGCCCAAGAAACCUGGGAGAGACCACCUUCACCCUUUGAUCGAGCAAGCCAUGGCUAGUCUUGUAACCACCCCAUCCAUUCAUUUUAGGUCUAAUGAACCCUCACGGUUUUGAAAAAACCAAAUAUAUAUAUAUAUGAAUUUUUUUCAUAUCUCCGUACAGACAUUGCAUCCUCUUAUAGACAGACCCGCUCCAUGUAGAUGUCACGUCCUCUUAUAGACAGAUUCGCCAUCCUCUUUUAGAGGACUGACCAUGUAGAUAUUCGCUUUGCCCCUUUUUCUCCAUAUAUGUCUUUCCCUCGAUGUGAGCCACAUACUACAGCAAAACACCAAUAAAAAAUCCAAACCCAUGCUCGAUCUUAUUAUUGAACAAUCCAAAACCACACAGCAUUAUGUUUAUAUAUAUAUAUAUACACAUAUAUUGGCGAAGAUAUACCAGAAGCGCUUGAUCAUCAUCAACCUCAUGGAGGAGUAGUGGGUGUAGUGAGGCAGGGGCUAUGGUCGGCCCCAUCGUCGCCGCCUAUAUAAGUGCAGGAAGAAGCAGAAGAAGGUGGGACUGGACCUCUUGCCAUUAAAACAGAGUCCUUGGAGAUGCUAUGAACCCUACCAGCUGCAACCAAAAUCGUGAAGGUGAGAAUCAAACAGAGAGAGAUUGAAAGGGAGACCCAGAUGAAUUUCAUGUUGUAAAAUGAGUUAGUGAUGAGUUGUGCAAACAGAGCUUGGGGCUUGGGUCUCCGUUUUAAAGAAAAUUGGAUGGUCCUGGGUGUUGGGUCCGACCCACACGAGGGAAAGGUUCUUUCAAAGGAGUCAAAUUUUUGACUGCUCACUACUGGCCGUCCGAUUUUAAAAUAUAGUAAAAGCCAUGAGUAAUACAGUUGAGAUUUUGCUGUUUGACCAAUACAUGGAGUUUGAUUAAUGGAGGUCCCACCCAAGUGCCAGGUGUUAAUUAGGAAGCAGGAUGCUUUGUAGACUCCACCACCACCCCCCAUUGAAUUCAUGCUUCCAAAGAUUUCCACUUAUCAGUUACAACUUACAACAACUCCACCUCCAAAUGAAUUCAUGCCAUUGCAUUCUUUUGAUUCUAUUUCUCCUUACAACUCAAUAAAGAUGGGAGUUUGUGUAAAUUGCACACCGCCCAUUGAAUUCAUGCCAUUGCCAUUGCAUUCUUUUUAUUCUAUUUCUUAUUCUCCGGCUUCCUUCGACUAGAAGUAACACGGUUCAAACACAAGAAGAAAAAGUGUGAGCGGGCCUUUCAUGGGUUUGUAUCAUUGAGUAUACGGUGGAAGAAUGAGAAGGUAAAUACACUUUAGAAUUGAAGGAGGAUCGUAAGCCAGCUGUAAAGACAGUUUAGUCAACAAGAAGGGAAGACGCAAUACCUGAAGACAAAAAAUGUUUUUUCUUUUUUUAUAUAUAUAAAAAAAUUUAUAUACUUGAAUGGAUGGAAAGUGGUCCGGAUACACUGCACCCAAAUUAAAGCACAGGGGUAAAAUGGUCAUUUGGUAAAAUAAAAAAUAAAAGAUAAAUAAUUGAAAGAGGGUAGAAAGUUUUUUUUGUGUUUAAUUUUAGACUUUUAAGAUAAUAAAAAGUCUUAAAAGUGGGCUGUUUUUUUAUAUAGUAUAAAUAUAGAUAUAGUCUUAUAGAUAAGUCUUUCAUGUAAAAGUCGGUUAUUAAUUGUUUUUUAUUUUAAUUUUAAAAACCGAAUAAAAUUAGAAAAAUGUACAAGGAGAAGUUAGAAUUUAUUUAUUUUAUUAUUUUAUUUCCUUUCGCUCAGGAUUCAUUUCAAAAUCUUCAAAGUUGAAACAAAGUUUCAAUAUUUAUGAGAUGAAUGACAAGGCAACAUGGAGACGAAAUAGUGCAAGAAGAAUGAAAAUGACAAUCUUGCUCACUUCUGAAAGCGUCGAAGCCUUUAAUGUUUUGUCACUCUGCUGGUUCAACCCCACUAUUCUGCACAAAAUUUGUGGGAACUCAAUCCAAAAGAUUUCGACUUAUCAUUGAGUAUACAGUGGAAGAAUGAAAGAUGCUCUAAAUUCUUGUGUGUUGGCCAAGUCUCACUCACUCUUGCCAAGUAAAGUAAUUCAUGUAUAAUAAGAUCUUUUAUUCAUAUAUUUCGUUUUUAAAGUAAUUUUAAUUUAUAUAAAAAUAAAAAUAAGAAUGAGAAGGUAAAUAUACUUUGGAAUUGAAGGAGGAUCGUAAGCCAGCUGUAAAUACAGUUUAGUCAACAAGAAGGGAAGAGGAAAUACGUGAAGACAAAAAAUGUUUUUUCUUUUUUUAUAUAUAUAAAAAAAUUUAUAUACUUGAAUGGAUGGAAAGUGGUCCGGAUACAAUGCACCCAAAUUAAAGCACAGGGGUAAAAUAAAAAAUAAAAGAUAAAAAUAAAGCAAAUAAAUUGAAAGAGGGUAGAAAGAUUUUUUUGUGUUUAAUUUUAGACUUUUAAGAUAAUAAUUUUUUUUUUUUUUGAUAGGAUUUUUAGAUCUCAAAAGUCUUAAAAGUGGGCUGUUUUUUUAUAUAGUAUAAAUAUAAAUAUAGAUAUAGAUAAGCCUUAACAAAUUAUUGGAUUUCAUGUAAAAGUCGGUUAUUAAUUAUUAUUAUUAUUUAUAAAAAAAAAACCGAAUAAAAAUAGAAAAAUGUACAAGGAGAAUUUUGAAUUUAUGUUUUUAUUUUUUUAUUUUCUUUCGCUCAGGAUUCAUUUCAAAAUCUUCAAAGUUGAAACAAAGUUUCAAUAUUUAUGAGAUGAAUGACAAGGCAACAUGGAGACGAAAUAGUCAAAGAAGAAUGAAAAUGACAAUCUAGCUCGCCCCACUUGCUCGCUUCUGAAAGCGUCGAAGCCUUUAAUGUUUUGUCACUCUGCUGGUUCAACCCCACUAUUCUGCACAAAAUUUGUGGGAACUCAAUCCAAAAGGAAUGAAGUCUAAUAGUCCUUGCAGGCCUUGGGGUGGAGCCGAAGUCGAUUCUAAGCUUUUAUCGCUACUUUCUGAAGGAAAAAAACAGUACAACCUCAAAAGCUCCAAAUCGAAUCAAAACAGAGAUUAGCAAAGGAAAGAAAACCAAGGAAAAAAAUGUAGGAAAAAGGAAAUUUUGUACGGGAAAGAUCGGGUCACGGCCAGUAACAGCAUUUCUUCUAUUCCUUACUAUUUUCGCAGAAAUUUUUAGAAGAAAUGGUAGCGAAAUUGCAGAUCUAAAGAGCAAAAAAAUUUACCCAUUCCCCUUCAAAUCAAACGCAGCCUUUGUUACCACUUUGAUGCCCGAUUGGGAAAAGGAAAAAGCCAAAUCACAACAGAAAUUUGAAGCCCAACCGCUGCAAAAUUGCAGAUCUAGGAACACCGAUCUCUAUUUCGGUGAAAUACGAAGCUACAAAUCAACCAAAAGUAGAGAUCAACAAAUGAAAGAAAACUAGGGAAAAUUUUGCGUACUUGUAUACUUGUUGAGAGAGCGGAAAGAUGGAGGCCACCUCCAAUUCACGGCCAACAUCACCAUUUCCUUCAUCGAUCCACCAUUUCUCCCCAAACUAUUUAAAGAAAUUCAACAGAGAAUAAAAAAAAUUUUUGAUCUUCUACUUUUCCACUAAAUUCAUCUCAGAUACUUCAAAAAAAAAAAAAA